GGUGGAGUGGUGUCGUGGUUAGCACACCCGAUCGGACAUUGGGAGGCCAGGGUUCAAAUCCUGGCCCCGCCG
Molecule: non-coding RNA, 72 nt
Organism: Ixodes scapularis (black-legged tick)
Lineage: Eukaryota; Metazoa; Arthropoda; Arachnida; Ixodida; Ixodidae
Source: Rfam